GUGCAGCUGAAGGACUGGUUAAUGAAGACACCCUCAAGCCAUCGGUAAGGGAGCCCUAAGAUGGACCUGACACACGUUACUGAAUUCCCUUUCCAGAGAAGCUGUUCUGUGGCUGUUUGAAGUGCAGUACACAAGAGUAUUCUGUCCUCCAAUUUCAGCAGUGCCAAGUUUCCAAUCAAGAGCCAUCAGGAAACUUGUAGUCAUGAAUAUUACAAGCAGAGAUUUACUGUCUACUCCAAAGGAAAAAAGAAUCCCACCAGUUAAGCCGCACUGUUGUUAACAGCAGUAGGAGCCUCAGUGGGAAUGGCUCCCCAGCUCUGGGCUCCAUUCUGAGCACCUUGCUGAUUAACCCUGCACUAGAACUCCUACCAGCAAGAUGAAAAGAAGGAGCAGGGAGAAGAAUGAGCCAAACAUGCACAGCAGGAACAAGGACACUGCUGUGUGAAGAAGGCAGCUGCCAUUUGGGUUCAGAUGAGAUGCAACACAUUAUAGAAGAGACUC
This is a long non-coding RNA of Mauremys reevesii (Reeves's turtle), 501 nucleotides long. RefSeq lists it as uncharacterized. The transcript is spliced from 3 exons. Lineage: Eukaryota; Metazoa; Chordata; Testudines; Geoemydidae. The record is from RefSeq and is a predicted model, not a curated record.